Molecule: ribosomal RNA, 587 nt
Filed under: uncultured bacterium
Lineage: Bacteria
Description: bacterial SSU rRNA
Rfam family: Bacterial small subunit ribosomal RNA
Source: RNAcentral
CCUACGGGAGGCAGCAGUGGGGAAUAUUGGACAAUGGGGGCAACCCUGAUCCAGCAAUGCCGCGUGAGUGAUGAAGGCUUUCGGGUCGUAAAGCUCUGUUGUCAGGGAAGAACAAGUAUCGGAGUAACUGCCGGUACCUUGACGGUACCUGACCAGAAAGCCACGGCUAACUACGUGCCAGCAGCCGCGGUAAUACGUAGGUGGCAAGCGUUGUCCGGAAUUAUUGGGCGUAAAGCGCGCGCAGGCGGUUCCUUAAGUCUGAUGUGAAAGCCCCCGGCUCAACCGGGGAGGGUCAUUGGAAACUGGGGAACUUGAGUGCAGAAGAGGAGAGCGGAAUUCCACGUGUAGCGGUGAAAUGCGUAGAGAUGUGGAGGAACACCAGUGGCGAAGGCGGCUCUCUGGUCUGUAACUGACGCUGAGGCGCGAAAGCGUGGGGAGCGAACAGGAUUAGAUACCCUGGUAGUCCACGCCGUAAACGAUGAGUGCUAAGUGUUAGAGGGUUUCCGCCCUUUAGUGCUGCAGCAAACGCAUUAAGCACUCCGCCUGGGGAGUACGGCCGCAAGGCUGAAACUCAAAGGAAUUGACGG